This 241-nucleotide ribosomal RNA is filed under the name uncultured bacterium. Its description in RNAcentral is "partial 16S ribosomal RNA". It matches the Rfam family "Bacterial small subunit ribosomal RNA", at positions 15 to 271 of the family's 1533-position model. The record is from RNAcentral.
GAUCCUGGCUCAGGAUGAACGCUGGCGGCGUGCCUAACACAUGCAAGUCGAGCGAUCUCUUCGGAGAGAGCGGCGGACGGGUGAGUAACGCGUGGGUAACCUGCCCUGUACACACGGAUAACAUACCGAAAGGUAUGCUAAUACGGGAUAAUAUAUAAGAGUCGCAUGACUUUUAUAUCAAAGAUUUUUCGGUACAGGAUGGACCCGCGUCUGAUUAGCUUGUUGCGGGUAAGCGCCACGA